RNAcentral lists this long non-coding RNA (1852 nucleotides) under Oryza brachyantha (malo sina). RNAcentral describes it as "long non-coding RNA (OBRA_LNC002701)". Lineage: Eukaryota; Viridiplantae; Streptophyta; Magnoliopsida; Poales; Poaceae. The record is from RNAcentral.
CUACGUAUAAUAUGCUCACAAACUAUAAGCUAGCAACAUGAACGCAAGAGCAGCUGGCUAGCUAGCACGACAUGAACGCAAGCUCGAUCGAUCAGUUGGCCGGCGAGAGCGACCCAAGUAAGUAUUAUGGGCAAUUUUAUAUUACCACCCUCGAUAAAGUAAACGAGAGGUUUCAUAUUUUUCUAUAUAAAAUUUGAAAGAUAAUUUUAUCAUCCUUUAUAAAGUAUCCCGACAUAUCAAAAUUUAUAUUCAAAUUUUUUUGUUACUGAAGGUAUCAAAUUUUAUCCUAGAGAAUACAAUACUUCUCUUACAUUUUCAUGGAUGGUAAAAUAUCUUCAAUUACUAUAUACCUUAAAAUUAUCCCAAUUUUGAAUGUAAAUCUUGUGAACUAGAGCUGAUUUUACAGAGGUGAUAAAAUUAUCCAGGUUAUAUACAUUCGUUGCGUCGGAAAUUACUCUGGUUGGACUUGGACCUCAACUUUUGACAUGGGUCCUAAAAAUUCCUAGAAAUAUGCAUAAAUAUUAUGGCCAACUACAUUCAUACAUCGUUUUAAAAUUCCAAUUGUGAUCUUCCACAUUUUUUAUAUAUAACUUUAUGAUUUUCGUUUUUGGAAACUAAAGUUUACGUUUGCCCUCAUUCGGUUAAGAGGACUUAACAAUGUGAAAACUCAUAUUGAAAAUAGGAGUUGAAUUCAUGUCAAGUUUGUGCUCGUCCUGAUUUCUUAACUGAAUAUGUGAAAAAUUAUGUCAAGAUGGAGGCAAGAUUAAUUUAAAAAUGUUUUUUUAGGUUAAAUAGAAGACACACACCACACUCGUACACCCGCGAAAAUGCCGCCAUAACACGUGUUCAAAGAGAUGGAAGACAACUGCAAAUUCUUGACUUCACUAAUUUCUAUUGAUAGUGCAACCACAUAUACGUAAUACUAUGGACUCUAUAAUUUAAACCUUAAGUCGACUUCACCACGGAAGCAAUUUUUUAGUACAUACGUAGAUGUCCACCAUGUCAUCUAAAUAGUCAUGAAAAUAUAAAAAAAAUUAAUAAGAUAGAUUAAUAUGAGUUAUAUCACCUCAUAAACAUGCAAGUUCAAAUCCAACUUCACAUGUUGUAACAAAAAAUAGUUAUGAAUGUGUGUAUACUAGUUUCAGUUUAAUUUAUUUUUUUGCUAUAACUUAUAGAAAUUGAAUUUAAAAUUACAUGUCUGUGAAGUGAUACAACUUAUAUUAAUCUAUCUUGUUAAUCUUUUCUAUAUUUUUAUGACUAUUUAGAUGAUAUGCAAGCAUACGGGUAGAUGUUUAGGUAUUUCAUGAAAAAAACCAAAAGAUAUAUUUGCAAAUAAAAUAUAGUUUGUGAAUAAAAAUUUUAUAUACAUAUUUUAGCGAUCUAAAAUUCAAUGCUGAAAAAUAAAAUUUGGUGAAAAACCCCAAAAUCAACUCCAAUUAGGGUUAAAAAUUCAAAUUUUGGCUUAUAAGCAUAAGCAUAAGCGGAAGAUGGGAGUAUUACAACUGAAACCAGUGAAAAUUAGACAAUUUUGUUAUAAUAUAUGUUGAAUUUCAAAUAAAUAUUUUAAAGUUGGCCCAUUUACCAAGCAGUUUUUCUCAAUUCAUACAGGUUCUAUAAAGCCAACAACCGCAAUAAUCGAGCAGUUAACGUCAUAUUUUCAAACACUGCUUUCAAACAAGUUUGCACCCAAGAACUUCCUUGAAUUAAAUUUGAGUAUAUCGCAGUGGAUCAUGGAAAUCUUGUUUUGCCUAAGCUGAUUUUUCAUAUUUGGUAUAUAGUAUCUAAACUUAUCUCCUGCUUUUUUUUUUUGAAACACUAUGUUCCAGUCAAAUCGAUCUAUUCUCGCGCCUAG